UGGGGAAUAUUGCACAAUGGGCGCAAGCCUGAUGCAGCCAUGCCGCGUGUAUGAAGAAGGCCUUCGGGUUGUAAAGUACUUUCAGCGGGGAGGAAGGCGAUAAGGUUAAUAACCUUGUCGAUUGACGUUACCCGCAGAAGCAGCACCGGCUAACUCCGUGCCAGCAGCCGCGGUCAUACGGAGGGUGCAAGCGUUAAUCGGCAUUACUGGGCGUAAAGCGCACGCAGGCGGUCUGUCAAGUCGGAUGUGAAAUCCCCGGGCUCAACCUGGGAACUGCAUUCGAAACUGGCAGGCUAGAGUCUUGUAGAGGGGGGUAGAAUUCCAGGUGUAGCGGUGAAAUGCGUAGAGAUCUGGAGGAAUACCGGUGGCGAAGGCGGCCCCCUGGACAAAGACUGACGCUCAGGUGCGAAAGCGUGGGGAGCAAACA
This 427-nucleotide ribosomal RNA is filed under the name uncultured bacterium. RNAcentral's name for it is "partial 16S ribosomal RNA". It matches the Rfam family "Bacterial small subunit ribosomal RNA", at positions 355 to 774 of the family's 1533-position model. The record is from RNAcentral.